This 73-nucleotide transfer RNA is filed under the name Patescibacteria group bacterium. Its description in RNAcentral is "tRNA-Thr". It matches the Rfam family "tRNA". From Rfam's summary of the family: Transfer RNA (tRNA) molecules are approximately 80 nucleotides in length. Their secondary structure includes four short double-helical elements and three loops (D, anti-codon, and T loops). The record is from RNAcentral. RNAcentral also lists the same sequence under 1 other name.
GCCGACCUAGCUCAAUUGGUAGAGCAAUACUUUCGUAAAGUAUAGGUUCGGGGUUCGAUCCCCCGGGUCGGCU